AUUGAACGCUGGCGGCAGGCCUAACACAUGCAAGUCGAGCGCGCGGCGGACGCGUGAGUAAUGUCUGUGAAACUCCCUGCUGGAGGGGGAUAACUACUGGAAACGGUAGCUAAUACCGCAUACCAUCAGAUGUGCCCACAUGGGCGUAGCUAGUGGGUGGGGUAACGGCUCACCUAGGCGACGAUCCCUAGCUGGUCUGAGACGAUGACCAGCCAAACGGGAACUGAGACACGGGCCAGACUCCAAGGGGAGGCAGCAGUGGGGAAUAUUGCACAAUGGGGGCAAGCCUGAUGCAGCCAUGCCGGGUGUGUGAAGAAGGCCUUCGGGUUGUAAAGCACUUUCAGCGGGGAGGCGUUACCCGCAGAAGAAGCACCGGCGAACUCCGUGCCAGCAGCCGCGGUAAUAC
Molecule: ribosomal RNA, 406 nt
Filed under: uncultured bacterium
Lineage: Bacteria
Description: partial 16S ribosomal RNA
Rfam family: Bacterial small subunit ribosomal RNA
Source: RNAcentral